UGGGGAAUUUUGGACAAUGGGCGAAAGCCUGAUCCAGCAAUGCCGCGUGUGUGAAGAAGGCCUUCGGGUUGUAAGGCACUUUUGUCCGGAAAGAAAUCCUUGGCUCUAAUACAGUCGGGGGAUGACGGUACCGGAAGAAUAAGCACCGGCUAACUACGUGCCAGCAGCCGCGGUAAUACGUAGGGUGCAAGCGUUAAUCGGAAUUACUGGGCGUAAAGCGUGCGCAGGCGGUUUGCUAAGACCGAUGUGAAAUCCCCGGGCUCAACCUGGGAACUGCAUUGGUGACUGGCAGGCUAGAGUAUGGCAGAGGGGGGUAGAAUUCCACGUGUAGCAGUGAAAUGCGUAGAGAUGUGGAGGAAUACCGAUGGCGAAGGCAGCCCCCUGGGCCAAUACUGACGCUCAUGCACGAAAGCGUGGGGAGCAAAACAGGAUUAGAUACCCUGGUAGUCCACGCCCUAAACGAUGUCAACUAGUUGUUGGGGAUUCAUUUCCUUAGUAACGUAGCUAACGCGUGAAGUUGACCGCCUGGGGAGUACGGUCGCAAGAUUAAAACUUAAAUGAAUUGACGGGGUCAUAGCUG
RNAcentral lists this ribosomal RNA (580 nucleotides) under uncultured bacterium. Its description in RNAcentral is "partial 16S ribosomal RNA". It matches the Rfam family "Bacterial small subunit ribosomal RNA", at positions 355 to 932 of the family's 1533-position model. The record is from RNAcentral.